RNAcentral lists this long non-coding RNA (1471 nucleotides) under Homo sapiens (human). RNAcentral describes it as "HSALNT0316740". Lineage: Eukaryota; Metazoa; Chordata; Mammalia; Primates; Hominidae. The record is from RNAcentral.
CUGAUGGUGAAAAACAUUUAUUACAAGGAUGAGCUGGGAAACAGGAGUGAGCCCAAGCCUGCGUGCCUUCAUGUUGCCCCUCUCGGGUAGGGUUCCCUGCUUGUUGAAUGAAGAAUCUCCCUCCUUAGAACCUUUGCUACCACCUGUUAAAUUAAGUUUAGGCUAAAGCUGCCUCCUUACAUAUUUUAAGUUCAGCCUAAAGGUUUCUCCAUACAUAGUGAAGUGUCACCUAACUGGAUAUGUAAACAGACUGUAAUCUAGUCUUGUACCAAUCACUGAGUUUCGGCCAAAGGUGGCCAACUGUUCGAACUGUGUUCAAAUAAGGCAAACACUAUGAUGUAACAAUCCAGCUGUUUCUGUACCCUGGGGGCUGCACAGUAAAUGGAUUAGAUAAAACAAGACCAAAGGUAGGAAAAGUUGGAUAUGUUUGCUGAAGUCUAGAUUAGGGAAGAGGUUCAAGGUAAUGAGGUUAGUAGCAAUGUGGCAAGAUGGUAAGUUCAGCUUUGAACAUGUUGAGGUGCCAACAGGUCAUCUGACUGAACACACCUGGGGAACACUGGUCUGAUGCUUGGAGGAGCAGAUGGGACAUCUAAGAAGAGUGUGGAGAGAGCCGGGCGCGGUGGCUCACACCUGUAAUCCCAGCACUUUGGGAGGCUAAGGCAGGUGGAUCACGAGAGUGCGGUGGUUCGCAGUGAUCAUCAGAGCUGUGGUGCAAUAAGGUGCCAAGCUAUCUGGCUACAUCAGGUGUAAAAUGGGUAGCAGAAAGAAUUUAACCAGCACGGCUAUGUCUUAUCUUGGAAAGUUCAUAGGACAAAAUAUUGGAGAUAAUCAGACUCCCUGAGUAGAAAGAGAAAACAUACAUGUUCUGUUACAUCAGGGAGCAACUAACAAGAUUCUUGACUCUGAACCUUUUAGAGUUCAGUACAUGCUGCAAAUAAGUUGGAUUUGUUUUUCCACUGACAAUUUUUAUUUUAAAAGAGGAAAAGCUGUGUUCAUACUAAGUUUGCUUUUUUUUUCUAACAGUUGAGGCUUGAAGGCAUGAUGCAGCUGGAAACAUUAUUAAAAUGUAUUUUAUGGUAUGCACAUGUAUGCAUAUACUUAUGUAAUGUCCAUAUAUCACAAAUUAAUAAAAAUGUUUGUGUUCAUAAACAUAUGUAAUGGAGACCUUUGCAUCAUUUUGAUCUGUAGAACACAGACAAAUGUUCUUAGCCUAUCUCAAAGUUCUAUGUGUUUACUUAUUAUUUCUGUACAUCAUUUUCAGAAGAAAGGUUUGUUUCCAUAAUAAAAGUGAGCACUUUGGCUUAUGUAGAACUUAGAAAUAAUUGUAAAUUUUACAACUUAAUAUGCACUUCAUGGUGAAAUUUCUCAUCCUAGAGAUUCGCAAGCAAGUAAAAACCAAAUUCAGGCCAGUGGUGUUAACUAGUUUCUAAAAUUUUAUUUGUUUUUAUUUGUAACAAGUCUUUUUCUUAAG